Molecule: microRNA, 21 nt
Filed under: Gallus gallus (chicken)
Lineage: Eukaryota; Metazoa; Chordata; Aves; Galliformes; Phasianidae
Description: gga-miR-6567-3p
Source: miRBase by way of RNAcentral
GGCAGCGCGGAGCGGAGCUUU